AAAUCAAAUUUUGAAGAACGAGUACAGAUCAGUAUUAGUAUCGAUGUAAACACACAUUGGUAGCAGACUGGGUGCGAUAUGUUUCAAUUCACAGCUUCUAGCCAGAAUGCAGCACACGACAGAGUUACAUGACUUACUCGUCUCUCAAAAACAUUUAUCUGACUCUGCCAUUGAUGGAUUCAGUGAUCUAGCUUCUAGAACUGUCUGGGAAAGACAAUUCUGCAGACUAUUGACCUUCUCAGAGAGAAAGCGAGACAGAAACUGCUUCUCCUCUCCAUUGUAAAAGGGAAACACUUUUAUUGUUUCUUUUGUUUCUCAUUAAACAUUCAUAUGUCACUAAUUUCAGUCUACAAUUUGUGUAGAACCACUGUACAUUAAUGUGUGCUCAAAAGACUUUAAAUAACUUGUGUAUUUUGCGUGUGACUGCUGUCAAUGUUUAACAUGAGCCAAAAGGACCUUGGAAAUGGUGAAACUUUUACAGUUACCAUAUGCGAAAAUGAUAGACUUUUGCAAAAUAGCAAAGAGGAAAACUGUUACAAGUAGAAUGAGCAUUCUCCCAAUAUCUAGGAAUUGGGGUGUCAAACAGAAUAAUGUUCCUUUUCGUCAAUCUUCCUUACAGUACUGACUCAGGUUUUGUCAUUCUCUCAUUUUUGAUGAGUCAUUAUUGAAUUUGAAAGCACCAAAUUUAUGUUGAUAAAUAUCAUUUAUUACAUAAUUAAUUUUCCCUUCACGUGCUGUAGAUUUUUGAUAGCCUACAGCAGAAUCUGAUACCUUAACUCUGAGAUUAUGAUCUCCCAUUCUCUAGCAGAUUAAAAGCUGGAAGCUUGCUCUCAAUGCCUAAUGAAGCCUGAUGCUGAAACAUUUAUAGGGUCAACCGUGCAUGACAUGGAAAGGUACAACUGUUAUUUUGCAACAUUUUUGUCACUCCAUGCUCAGAUCACAAAUUUUACCCUAUUUUGUCUGUAUGCAUGAAGAAAUAACUCGCAUCGAUAAAGCAUCUUUCGUAGCCUUAGGAUGUCCCAGAGUGGCAAUAAAGUAUUUUUUGACAUGAGUGAUUGCUAUAGUGUGGGAGUCUUGGCAGCCAAUUUCCACCACGUAAGGUUUCGCAAACAAUAAAAAAUUGACCAGAUUAUGAAUUGUAUUCUGCUGUACAGAUGACAAUGAACCUAUCAGUGUACGUUAAAUUCGUGCACUUGUUAGUGUUUGGGAACAUAGUCUGUAUCGUCAACUGUAAAUAAUUUUCUCAUUGCAAAAAUCGUGAAUAGAGUGUCAUUUGGCCCAGCAAAUAUGGAAUCUACAAUGUCAUAAUUGACUUCUGAUCUGAAGUAACCUUGGUGUGUAUUCAUUAUAAAUCACGCAAUGUCUAUAACACAUACUGUUUGUAGUAUUUUAAAUUUGUUAAGGUAAUGGUCACUUCCAACAUUUUAUUAUUAUAGCUGACAUAUUUCAUGAACUAAAAGUUGUUAAUGAAAAGGACAAAUGGUGACCUAAUAUGGCUUCUGUGAUCAUGAUACCAACAAUCAGCGUGGAUUAAUCUGAGCUGAAAUUUAAUUCAUUAUCGAAAGCACUGCAAACAGAUCUAUAUCUUCUGGCUGAUUCAUAAAUUUCUGGAAAUUGUGCAUUGGGACUAAAGACAUCUGCAGAUCGUCAAACCUGAAAAAAAUCAAUGACAUUUGGCAGCAAAAUCCACAAAGAAGUGGUAUGUCAGGCAAUAGAUUUUGAGCAGCAAAACGGAGAGGAAAAAAAUGAGCUGAUAACAAGGAGAAACUGGAAGCUUGUCUCUCCCUGUCCCUGUCAACCUCAAAGUCAGGACCGUGUGAGAAGUAAUUUCAGACAGCAACUAUUCAAUAACACAGGAUAUCUGCAAACAUAUCUGAUGAUCGAACACCAGCUAAAUAGUAAGGACGCUAGUGAUGUUCACAAAUUAAGAACUCUUAAGAACUUUUAACUGCAAUUGUUUUUAUCUUCCUGUCUAUACUAGGCAGCCUCCACAAAUCUUUUUCAACUUAAUGCCUGUGUCUGGUUGUGCAUGCUUGAUGUUACAUUUGCAUUUUUUUUCAACUGGGUAAUAAAAUUCGUCCUUCUUUCAUUCAA
This is a long non-coding RNA of Stegostoma tigrinum, 2094 nucleotides long. RefSeq lists it as uncharacterized. The record is from RefSeq and is a predicted model, not a curated record. NCBI's taxonomy places the organism in Eukaryota, Metazoa, Chordata, Chondrichthyes, Orectolobiformes, Stegostomatidae. The transcript has 2 exons.